RNAcentral lists this ribosomal RNA (110 nucleotides) under Chinchilla lanigera (long-tailed chinchilla). Lineage: Eukaryota; Metazoa; Chordata; Mammalia; Rodentia; Chinchillidae. The record is from RNAcentral.
GUCUAUGGCCACACCACCCUGAAUGCGCCCAAUCUUGUCUGAUCUUGGAAGCUAAGCGGGAUUGGGCCUGGUUAGUACUUGGAUGGGAGAGAAUUAUAGUACAGUACUCC